GAACUUGUCAAUAGAGCACUGAGAUUAAGGAAUGUUCUAUUGACACUCUUAGAGCUAGAGAUGAAACCAAAUGAUAUUAACUUGGAGAAAAAGAGAGAAAAGAAAAGUUAUAACUGGUUUUCUUUCAACCUUAUAUAAUGUCAAAAAACACAAAACUUCUUUACAGUAUGGUGGAACACAACCGAAAGUUACAAGCUAAUAGACAGUAGGAUUAUUAAAGAGGUUCUGAUAUUCCAAGAGAUUAUACACAAAUAUGCAUCACAGCAGAAGCCUUAAUUGGCUGAUUUCUAGUUUAUUCCACAGAGAAGCAAUUGCUGGCAGUGAUAGCAAGCCAUGUCAAAUUGGCCUGCUUAUGAAUAUUGUCUGUCAGGUUCAAACACAGUAAAAUCAACAGUAAGAAUUAGAUUGAGAUCAUGCUCGGGAUAAUAUUUUUAACAUUUAUUUUUUCCAGCAUCGCAAUUUUUCAUGCAACCAAGAGUAAGAUUUCUAUAAGUAUCGAGUAUUUAUCCGUCAUAUACAUGCGACAAUUGAGUUGCAAGUUUAACAAUAUAAUACAAUAAUAUUGAAACUAAAUUGCAAGCAAUCUCAGCAAUUAUUUUACUUGAUUAUUUUUGUAUGUUGAAAUGUCAAAAUUUAAUUGAGAAACCUUGAUGCUGCAAACAUGAAGCUUACAGUCGAUCGUAAAAUGGAAAGGAUACCACGGAGGUAUUUCACACAGCAACUGGCGCAGGUCUUUUGCUAGCUUUGAUUCCUCUUAUAGCUACAAGGGAAUUGAAACCAUGACAAAUAUCAGAAUCACAUUGAAUUUUCAUGUAUUACAAUGUAUGCCUCCGGCUCAAAAUUUCAAAAUAUUUUUUUAAAGGUACCUUCAGCAUAAUCUUUAGCUCCAAACACAGCGGAACCAGCAACCAGUGCAUUAGCUCCAGCCUCAAUCACCUGCCAAAUAACAUAAUACUGAAAAUUAGAUCCUACAACUCAAAUCGGUUCAGUACAUAGAACACUUGUUACAUAUCUAAACCAAAAAAAAAAAAACUUGUUACAUAUCAUUCUAAACUAUAAGUGAUGGAAGACAUGUGAUUAUAUGUAUACAGCACCUUGUAAGCAUUUGCCGGGGUAACUCCACCAUCCACUUCAAUCCAUGGAUUCACACCCUAGUGAGAGAAAGAGAGACUAUUUAAAGAUUAUGUAAGAAAUAAAAAUCGGUACAUACACAAACACAAAUUAUUGCAGCAUACCUUCUCCGCACACAAUUUUCUCAAAUCAGAAAUUUUCUUUACUUGACUCUCGAUAAAACUCUGGCCACCAAAGCCAGGGUUUACGGACAUAAUUAAGACCAAAUCAACCACUGCGAUCACCAUAAUAAGAUUAUAAGAUUUUAUUGUUUUUAAUUACUAGAAGAACCUCAAAAAAAAGUAACUCAACAGACAUUAGUCUGAAAUGAAUAACAAAAUUUAAAUUUAUACUCCUUUACUUUUCCAAUUUAUUUCCAAACAAACCUUUUCUAUUCUGUUUAUAAAAUACAGUUACCAGUAUUUUCAGAGACAGAAAAAACGAAGUAAAAAACACAGGCUCACCAUCAAGGACAUAUUCUAUUGCACUUAGUGGGGUACCAGGGUUUAGGACAACUCCAGCUUUAGCUCCCAGACUUUUCACCUAAAUCAAGAGAACAUAAUUAGAUACACAAAUAUAAGUUGAGUUAUCUGUUAUUAUACUUAAAGGCUGAGACAUUACUUAACUAUUAAACCUUACACAUCCUUACUGUGUUCUUGCUGUGUUCUUGACAAAAUUGU
This 1790-nucleotide long non-coding RNA is filed under the name Trifolium pratense (red clover). RNAcentral's name for it is "long non-coding RNA (TPRA_LNC012281)". Lineage: Eukaryota; Viridiplantae; Streptophyta; Magnoliopsida; Fabales; Fabaceae. The record is from RNAcentral.